Molecule: ribosomal RNA, 468 nt
Filed under: uncultured bacterium
Lineage: Bacteria
Description: partial 16S ribosomal RNA
Rfam family: Bacterial small subunit ribosomal RNA
Source: RNAcentral
GACGAACGCUGGCGGCGUGCUUAACACAUGCAAGUCGAACGGAAAGGCCCUGCUUUUGUGGGGUGCUCGAGUGGCGAACGGGUGAGUAACACGUGAGUAACCUGCCCUUGACUUUGGGAUAACUUCAGGAAACUGGGGCUAAUACCGGAUAGGAGCUCCUGCUGCAUGGGGGGGGUUGGAAAGUUUCGGCGGUUGGGGCUGGACUCGCGGCUUAUCAGCUUGUUGGUGGGGUAGUGGCUUACCAAGGCUUUGACGGGUAGCCGGCCUGGGAGGGGGACCGGCCACAUUGGUACUGCGAGACGGCCCAGUCUCCUACGGGAGGCAGCAGUGGGGAAUAUUGCAGAAUGGGCGGAAGCCUGAUGCAGCAACGCCGCGUGCGGGAUGACGGCCUUCGGGUGGUAAACCGCUUUCGCCUGUGACGAAGCGGGAGUGACGGUAAUGGGUAAAGAAGCACCGGCUAACUACGUG